AAUAUAUUUUUUUAAGAAAUAAAAAAAGUAGUUAAUAGAAAUGUACCACAGAUUAAGUUUUGUAUAACAUGAAACUUAGUUAAGAGAACUUGUAAUUCAUCAUGACUUUUAACUCAUAAAAAUAUUACUUCCAUGAGUUACCUGGUAUAUGAUUCUCCUAAAAUUUCUGAGUAGAGAGAGUAUUCUUUAUCUAGAUACAGUCUUUGUUUUGCCAGUCCUUUGGAAUGCUGUUUAUCUGAAAAUUGUCCUUUUUUCACAUAGUGUUUGUUUUUUGGGUCAUGGUGGAUGGAGAUUUUUUCAUUCUUUCUAGAUUGAGUCUGUGCUGUUUAAGGAGGUCUGCUGUCCUGCAUCCAUCUCUCUGUGUCUCUCUCUGUCCGUUUCUCUGUUUAUUGCCCCCCACCCCUUUUUUAAACUGGGGGACUAGAUAAAAGAAAAGUUGAAGAAGGGCUUGGGAUGUACCUCAGUGGCGCCGCACCUGCCUGGCAAGCGCAAGGUCCUGAGUUUGAUCCCAGUUACCAGAAAAAAAAAAAAAAAAAAAAAGUUGAAGAGCUCUUCCAACAUUUUCACAUUGCCAGAGAAGUUUAAAAUAUAAUUCAAUUUAAUCCAUUGUACAAGUGUAUUGAUGGCUUAAGGCCCUCCUCUCUCCUGCUAUUUGAACUCUGAGGGAUUCCUCUUCCUAAAUAUGAAGAAAAUUCAUAUGAAGAUAUUCAUAUGGCCCAUGUGAAGCAUGGGGAAGGGAAAACAUUUCCUUCUUACAGAUCUUAUGCUUAAAUUUUGGGAACAUUGAUGUCAUACUCAAAUUUCAAGGAAUCCUACUGCAUUUUAAGGCAAUCAGGUUAAGUAGAUGAUUUGGAAAAUGCAUUAAUUUGUAGGAAGUAUUUUAUCGUGAAAAGUUUUCCAGUUGAAGAUAUUCAGUAAAUAAAAGCUAAGAAAUUUCAUUGAAAUCCUGAGGUGAUUUACAAAUAAGUGGGAAAAAAAUGACUGUACUACCUAAUAGAGAAUCAUUCACCCUAAAGAGUCAAGUGGGUAUGAUUUAUUGGAUAGUGACAAUUUAUUUUUAACCUUGAGUAUAUUAAAAGAUAACAUUCUGUUUGUAUGCUCUGCAUUAAUAAAAAUGAACAAAAUUAAUUUUGGUGUGUUCGGGUGUCUUGCUAAAAUAAUGUUCUGGUGGUGUUGCUGAUGUUUAACAUUCAGCUUUAAGUCAAGGUCACUGAGUUCAGGUUUCAACUUCAUGCUUAGAUUUAAUAUGCUGUUCAUUAUUAGGCUAUUUGUAUUCAUUACUCUGACAACUAAAUCACUAUAUAUAUAUAUACAUAUAUAUACAUAUAUGUAUAUAUAUAUAACUGAGGAAUAUCUGUUCUUACUAAGAAGUGCUCAGGUUAUUAUCUGAGCUAUAGACAGGCUGGCUAAGUUUGGUAUUAUAUCAAGAAGCAGCUUUAGUAAACAGGCAUGCAUAAUGAAAAUAAUGAAGAUCACACAGGAAGUGAAAAGGCUGAAUACUAAGGGGAGGCUGAGAGCUUCAGGUUAAUGAAUGCUGUCUGAGCCUGUUGCCUCAAGCCUUCAUGGGAAUAUUGCCUUAGAAUUAUUACAUGCACUUCUUUGUUGGUUAAGUUGUAAAAUUUUGUUCUUCAUGAAUGUGGAAGUUUUGAGGGCCUGGUAGAAGGAAUAAGGACAUGAUGCUGUUAACAAGAUGUUUGAUUCAUAAAUGUCUGCGGUAGAGUUUGGGUGAUCUAGUAAAUGUUAUAGAACCACUUUUUAGUCUAUGCACCAUUCAGUAAACUAAAAUCAGAUUUCUCCUAAUAUCAUUUGAAAUUUCAC
Heterocephalus glaber (naked mole-rat) is the source of this 1818-nucleotide long non-coding RNA. The record is from Ensembl. NCBI's taxonomy places the organism in Eukaryota, Metazoa, Chordata, Mammalia, Rodentia, Bathyergidae.